UCCAGCUCUAAGGUUUUCUACCUUGCGGAAAUGCCCGGCGUUCGCGCCGGGCAUUUUUUCUUGCUUCA
RNAcentral lists this unclassified non-coding RNA (68 nucleotides) under Mesorhizobium sp. YR577. RNAcentral's name for it is "suhB". Lineage: Bacteria; Pseudomonadati; Pseudomonadota; Alphaproteobacteria; Hyphomicrobiales; Phyllobacteriaceae. The record is from RNAcentral.